RNAcentral lists this ribosomal RNA (392 nucleotides) under uncultured bacterium. RNAcentral describes it as "partial 16S ribosomal RNA". It matches the Rfam family "Bacterial small subunit ribosomal RNA", at positions 523 to 918 of the family's 1533-position model. The record is from RNAcentral.
AUACGGAGGAUCCGAGCGUUAUCCGGAUUUAUUGGGUUUAAAGGGUGCGCAGGCGGCCAUUUAAGUCAGCGGUUAAAUCGUAGGGCUCAACCCCAUUCUGCCGUUGAUACUGGGUGGCUUGAUUGCGGUCGAGGUUGGCGGAAUUCGUUGUGUAGCGGUGAAAUGCAUAGAUAUGACGAAGAACGCCGAUUGCGUAGGCAGCUGACCAGACCGCAAAUGACGCUCAUGCACGAAAGUGCGGGGAUCGAACAGGAUUAGAUACCCUGGUAGUCCGCACAGUAAACGAUGAAUACUUGUUUUCGGCGAUAUAAUGUCGGAGGCAAAGCGAAAGCGAUAAGUAUUCCACCUGGGGAGUACGCCGGCAACGGUGAAACUCAAAGGAAUUGACGGGG